RNAcentral lists this ribosomal RNA (484 nucleotides) under uncultured bacterium. RNAcentral describes it as "partial 16S ribosomal RNA". It matches the Rfam family "Bacterial small subunit ribosomal RNA", at positions 30 to 507 of the family's 1533-position model. The record is from RNAcentral.
AUUGAACGCUGGCGGCAGGCCUAACACAUGCAAGUCGAGCGGAUGAAGGGAGCUUGCUCCUGGAUUCAGCGGCGGACGGGUGAGUAAUGCCUAGGAAUCUGCCUGGUAGUGGGGGAUAACGUCCGGAAACGGGCGCUAAUACCGCAUACGUCCUGAGGGAGAAAGUGGGGGAUCUUCGGACCUCACGCUAUCAGAUGAGCCUAGGUCGGAUUAGCUAGUUGGUGGGGUAAAGGCCUACCAAGGCGACGAUCCGUAACUGGUCUGAGGGGAUGAUCAGUCACACUGGAACUGAGACACGGUCCAGACUCCUACGGGAGGCAGCAGUGGGGAAUAUUGGACAAUGGGCGAAAGCCUGAUCCAGCCAUGCCGCGUGUGUGAAGAAGGUCUUCGGAUCGUAAAGCACUUUAAGUUGGGAGGAAGGGCAGUAAGUUAAUACCUUGCUGUUUUGACGUUACCAACAGAAUAAGCACCGGCUAACUUCGUG